AGUCCGUCAGCCAUUUUGUUCUGCAGUUACUUGUUUCAUUCGAGCUUCGCGUAGAUGCCUCACAGUUACACCGAGCCUACUACAUGGCGCUUCUUUUUCGUCUGCUGCCGUUGAAGUGUCUUUGGCCAUAGCAGAUGUGAACCUCGAGAUUCUGACGUUACAACUAUCAGUAUGAUCAUGACCGUGGCAAACUCAAGAGACAUUUCUGUCACCAGACUCGGCUUUCAACUCAGCUUAACCAGGAAACCAAAAUCACCAUCAGAAUUUGAUCAUUUGGAGAUCAUCAUUCCAGUAACGGUGGGAGGUGUAGCCGUACUCCUGAUGGUCGUAGCUAUGUGCUGUG
Long non-coding RNA from Branchiostoma belcheri (Belcher's lancelet), 343 nucleotides. RefSeq lists it as uncharacterized. The transcript is spliced from 3 exons. The record is from RefSeq and is a predicted model, not a curated record. NCBI's taxonomy places the organism in Eukaryota, Metazoa, Chordata, Leptocardii, Amphioxiformes, Branchiostomatidae.